RNAcentral lists this unclassified non-coding RNA (321 nucleotides) under uncultured fungus. RNAcentral describes it as "partial contains small subunit ribosomal RNA, internal transcribed spacer 1, and 5.8S ribosomal RNA". The stretch from base 1 to 73 matches the Rfam family "Eukaryotic small subunit ribosomal RNA", at positions 1759 to 1831 of the family's 1831-position model. The record is from RNAcentral. Lineage: Eukaryota; Fungi.
GCAAACUUGGUCAUUUAGAGGAAGUAAAAGUCGUAACAAGGUUUCCGUAGGUGAACCUGCGGAAGGAUCAUUAUCGAGUUUUGACUGGGUUGUAGCUGGCCUUACGAGGCAUGUGCACGCCCUGUUAAUCCACUCUACACCUGUGCACUUACUGUGGGUUUCAGAUCGUGAAUUGGGCCUACGGGCUCGUGAAGCGCAUCUGUGCCUGCGUUUAUUACAAACACUAUAAAGUAUCAGAAUGCAUUGUGUUGCGAUGUAACGCAUCCAUAUACAACUUUCAGCAACGGAUCUCUUGGCUCUCGCAUCGAUGAAGAACGCAGC